This 525-nucleotide long non-coding RNA is filed under the name Physcomitrium patens. RNAcentral's name for it is "long non-coding RNA (PPAT_LNC008035)". The record is from RNAcentral. Lineage: Eukaryota; Viridiplantae; Streptophyta; Bryopsida; Funariales; Funariaceae.
UAAAUGAAGGUAUGUUUGUUGGACACUAAUAUGUAUGAUUCCAUAGCUUUCUGUAAAUGUGUGAUAUUGUUAUGCAUUUUAUGUUACUUGAAGUAUUGCUUAUAGGUAUUGGCAUUUGUUAAAAGUAACAACUUCUGAUUUUUUUAGAUAAAUGUCUCUAGAAUAACAUUAAUAUACUAAAUUAUAAAACCUAAAAUCUAAAAAACAAUACAAAUUUACACAUACCCUUGAGUAAAAUAUAUAUAUAUAUAUAUAUAUAUAUAUAUAUACUUUUAAUUAUUUUUUACAAAUACAUGUAUUGUUGAAAUGUAGCUGUUGGAAUUUUACACAAGGGUCUGUGGGAUACUUUGAGCCUACUAUACUUUGAAGAUAAAUUAAGAAAACAAGACAAUCUUGGAUAAAUCCUUAUUUGGUUCUCAACAAAAAAAUCUAAUCAACUAUUAUUAUUGUUCACCACCAUGCAUUGUUACCCCUAAUCUCUAUAAUAAGACACAAUGGUGGAUGCUUAGCAGCAUAUUAAGCAAU